This 423-nucleotide ribosomal RNA is filed under the name uncultured bacterium. Its description in RNAcentral is "partial 16S ribosomal RNA". It matches the Rfam family "Bacterial small subunit ribosomal RNA", at positions 359 to 774 of the family's 1533-position model. The record is from RNAcentral.
GAAUUUUGGACAAUGGGCGAAAGCCUGAUCCAGCAACGCCGCGUGCAGGAUGAAGGCCUUCGGGUUGUAAACUGCUUUUGUACGGAACGAAAAGGUUUGGGCUAAUACCAUGGAGUCAUGACGGUACCGCAAGAAUAAGCACAGGCCAACUACGGACCAGCCGCCGCGGUAAUACGUAGGGUGCAAGCGUUAAUCGGAAUUACUGGGCGUAAGGCGUGCGCAGGCGGUUUUGUAAGACAGGGGUGAAAUCCCCGGGCUCAACCUGGGAACUGCCUUUGUGACUGCAAGGCUAGAGUACGGCAGAGGGGGGUGGAAUUCCGCGUGUAGCAGUGAAAUGCGUAGAUAUGCGGAGGAACACCGAUGGCGAAGGCAACCCCCUGGGCCUGUACUGACGCCCAUGCACGAAAGCGUGGGGAGCAAACA